Molecule: long non-coding RNA, 731 nt
Filed under: Triticum aestivum (bread wheat)
Lineage: Eukaryota; Viridiplantae; Streptophyta; Magnoliopsida; Poales; Poaceae
Description: long non-coding RNA (TAES_LNC006716)
Source: RNAcentral
UGGCUCCAGUGUUCGUCGCAGCAGCAAUUUGCCACAAUGAGCGACAACAAGUUUAUUUGCUGUUUGACGCCCGCAGGUGUCAUAUACUGAUUUUACCAUUUCCUUUGCACCCACUCUUGAUCGACCAUGCUUUCCUGCACAUCACAUAAAAUUAAGUGUACUUAGGAUUGGUUUAGUGCGGUUGCAAUAGUUCUGCACCUGGUAUAUCAUGCAGUAGCCAGCUCUAUUUUUCUUUCUUUUCAACGCAAUUGAUGGUUCAGUUUACUUCGUCGUGAGGGCCUGAAAUCAAUGUUUAGUAAUAAAAUUUAGUGAUUGUCCCAUGUAAACUUGAUUUUGUGGUUGCAGGUUUAUUGUCUGUCUUGGGUGGUCAUUGUAGCAGUAGUGUGUGUACUGGACAGCCUUCAGCCACCAUCGUUUACCUCCGUCUCACCGACCAGCCGCCGUCGUUUACCUCAUGUCUCGUUGGACCGCCCGAUAGCACAGUCGCCUAACUCUGUCUCGUCGGGCAGCCACCGCCGUCUACUUCUGCCUCGUCGUUAAUUGUGUGCUAGCAAUUCAUCUCGAGAACUUGUUAGGUUAUUCUAACUCGGCAAUGUAACCAUGAUCUUGUUUUCUGUAUAUGGAUUUUUUUUGUGAUUUUUAUUUUCAUUUUAUUUUUCAUGGUGCUACCAUGAUUUAUUUUAUUUUCAGGUAUAAUUUGUGAACAUUUUAUUUAUUUUUCCCUAAUGGUC